UACGGGGGGAGCAAGCGUUGUUCGGAUUUACUGGGCGUAAAGGGCGCGUAGGCGGCGCAACAAGUCACUUGUGAAAUCUCCGGGCUUAACCCGGAGCGGCCAAGUGAUACUGUCGUGCUAGAGUGCGGAAGGGGCUACUGGAAUUCUCGGUGUAGCAGUGAAAUGCGUAGAUAUCGAGAGGAACACCUGCGGCGAAGGCGGGUAGCUGGGCCGACACUGACGCUGAGGCGCGAAAGCCAGGGGAGCGAACGGG
This 253-nucleotide ribosomal RNA is filed under the name uncultured bacterium. Its description in RNAcentral is "partial 16S ribosomal RNA". It matches the Rfam family "Bacterial small subunit ribosomal RNA", at positions 524 to 776 of the family's 1533-position model. The record is from RNAcentral.